This 1346-nucleotide ribosomal RNA is filed under the name uncultured bacterium. RNAcentral's name for it is "partial 16S ribosomal RNA". It matches the Rfam family "Bacterial small subunit ribosomal RNA", at positions 28 to 1381 of the family's 1533-position model. The record is from RNAcentral.
GACGAACGCUGGCGGCGUGCUUAACACAUGCUUUUCGAACGGAAAGGCCCUGCUUUUGUGGGGUGCUCGAGUGGCGAACGGGUGAGUAACACGUGAGUAACCUGCCCUUGACUUUGGGAUAACUUCAGGAAACUGGGGCUAAUACCGGAUAGGAGCUCCUGCUGCAUGGUGGGGGUUGGAAAGUUUCGGCGGUUGGGGAUGGACUCGCGGCUUAUCAGCUUGUUGGUGGGGUAGUGGCUUACCAAGGCUUUGACGGGUAGCCGGCCUGAGAGGGUGACCGGCCACAUUGGGACUGAGAUACGGCCCAGACUCCUACGGGAGGCAGCAGUGGGGAAUAUUGCACAAUGGGCGGAAGCCUGAUGCAGCAACGCCGCGUGCGGGAUGACGGCCCUCGGGUUGUAAACCGCUUUCGCCUGUGACGAAGCGUGAGUGACGGUAAUGGGUAAAGAAGCACCGGCUAACUACGUGCCAGCAGCCGCGGUGAUACGUAGGGUGCGAGCGUUGUCCGGAUUUAUUGGGCGUAAAGGGCUCGUAGGUGGUUGAUCGCGUCGGAAGUGUAAUCUUGGGGCUUAACCCUGAGCGUGCUUUCGAUACGGGUUGACUUGAGGAAGGUAGGGGAGAAUGGAAUUCCUGGUGGAGCGGUGGAAUGCGCAGAUAUCAGGAGGAACACCAGUGGCGAAGGCGGUUCUCUGGGCCUUUCCUGACGCUGAGGAGCGAAAGCGUGGGGAGCGAACAGGCUUAGAUACCCUGGUAGUCCACGCUGUAAACGGUGGGUACUAGGUGUGGGGUCCAUUCCACGGGUUCCGUGCCGUAGCUAACGCUUUAAGUACCCCGCCUGGGGAGUACGGCCGCAAGGCUAAAACUCAAAGGAAUUGACGGGGCCCCGCACAAGCGGCGGAGCAUGCGGAUUAAUUCGAUGCAACGCGUAGAACCUUACCUGGGUUUGACAUGGAUCGGGAGUGCUCAGAGAUGGGUGUGCCUCUUUUGGGGUCGGUUCACAGGUGGUGCAUGGCUGUCGUCAGCUCGUGUCGUGAGAUGUUGGGUUAAGUCCCGCAACGAGCGCAACCCUUGUUCACUGUUGCCAGCACGUUAUGGUGGGGACUCAGUGGAGACCGCCGGGGUCAACUCGGAGGAAGGUGGGGAUGACGUCAAGUCAUCAUGCCCCUUAUGUCCAGGGCUUCACGCAUGCUACAAUGGCUGGUACAGAGAGUGGCGAGCCUGUGAGGGUGAGCGAAUCUCGGAAAGCCGGUCUCAGUUCGGAUUGGGGUCUGCAACUCGACCUCAUGAAGUCGGAGUCGCUAGUAAUCGCAGAUCAGCAACGCUGCGGUGAAUACGUUCCCGGGGCU